UAAUGCAUGCAAGUCGUACGGGAGCCGCUUUGGCGGUCGACCGUGGCGGACGGGUGAGUAACACGUGGGUAACCUGCCCCGGCGCGGGGGAUAACCGCGGGAAACCGUGGCUAAUACCCCAUGGGCUCGGUUGGGGGUGACCUGAUCGAGCAAAGGCGGAAGCCGUGCCGGGAGGGGCCUGCGGCCUAUCAGCUAGACGGUGGGGUAAUGGCCUACCGUGGCGAUGACGGGUAGCCGGCCUGAGAGGGCGACCGGCCACACUGGGACUGAGACACGGCCCAGACUCCUGCGGGAGGCAGCAGUGGGGAAUAUUGCGCAAUGGGCGGAAGCCUGACGCAGCGACGCCGCGUGGGGGAUGAAGGCCUUCGGGUUGUAAACCUCUUUUACCACUCACGAAGGCCCCUGGUUUUCUGGGGGUUGACGGUAGGUGGUGAAUAAGGACCGGCUAACUACGUGCCAGCAGCCGCGGUAAUACGCAGGGUGCGAGCGUUGUCCGGAAUUAUUGGGCGUAAAGAGCUCGUAGGCGGUCUGUCGCGUCUGCUGUGAAAACUCGGGGCUUAACCCCGAGCCUGCAGUGGGUACGGGCAGACUAGAGUGUGGUAGGGGAGACUGGAAUUCCUGGUGUAGCGGUGGAAUGCGCAGAUAUCAGGAGGAACACCGAUGGCGAAGGCAGGUCUCUGGGCCACAACUGACGCUGAGGAGCGAAAGCGUGGGGAGCGAACAGGAUUAGAUACCCUGGUAGUCCACGCCGUAAACGUUGGGCGCUAGGUGUGGGGCUCAUUCCACGAGUUCCGUGCCGCAGCUAACGCAUUAAGCGCCCCGCCUGGGGAGUACGGCCGCAAGGCUAAAACUCAAAGGAAUUGACGGGGGCCCGCACAAGCGGCGGAGCAUGCGGAUUAAUUCGAUGCAACGCGAAGAACCUUACCAGGGCUUGACAUAUACCGGAAACACCCAGAGAUGGGUGCCCCGCAAGGCCGGUAUACAGGUGGUGCAUGGUUGUCGUCAGCUCGUGUCGUGAGAUGUUGGGUUAAGUCCCGCAACGAGCGCAACCCUCGUUCUAUGUUGCCAGCACGUCAUGGUGGGGACUCAUAGAAGACUGCCGGGGUCAACUCGGAGGAAGGUGGGGAUGACGUCAAAUCAUCAUGCCCCUUAUGUCCUGGGCUUCACGCAUGCUACAAUGGCCAGUACAAAGGGCUGCGAUACCGUGAGGUGGAGCGAAUCCCAAAAAACUGGUCUCAGUUCGGAUUGGGGUCUGCAACUCGACCCCAUGAAGUCGGAGUCGCUAGUAAUCGCAGAUCAGCAACGCUGCGGUGAAUACGUUCCCGGGCCUUGUACACACCGCCCGUCAAGUCACGAAAGUCGGUAACACCCGAAGCCGGUGGCCCAACCCCUUUUUGGGGAGGGAGCCGUCGAAGGUGGGACCGGUGAUUGGGACUAAGUCGUAACAAGGUAGCCGUACCGGAAGG
This 1466-nucleotide ribosomal RNA is filed under the name uncultured compost bacterium. Its description in RNAcentral is "bacterial SSU rRNA". It matches the Rfam family "Bacterial small subunit ribosomal RNA". The record is from RNAcentral.